Psammomys obesus (fat sand rat) is the source of this 818-nucleotide long non-coding RNA. RefSeq lists it as uncharacterized. The transcript has 6 exons. Lineage: Eukaryota; Metazoa; Chordata; Mammalia; Rodentia; Muridae. The record is from RefSeq and is a predicted model, not a curated record.
UCUGAGCAUGUGAGCGCCUGUGUUUCUACCGUUGCCCUGGCCGGGCUUGCUGUCUGGGGCCCGCCUCCCACACUUCACACAGCCCCGUGCCUGCUAAGACCGUUUAUCUGAAGGUCCUCCUCUCUGCGGGCUCAGCUUGGUAGCUGGUCCACAGGGAGAAUUUUAUACCUUUGUGUGUGCUGGGGUUGGCUUCUGGAGGUGGAGACAAGAACCGGGUGUUCCACAUAGCCCUUGCUGUCUUGAAACUCCCUCGGUAGACCAGGCUGACCUCAAACUCCCAGAGAUCCUGCCCUGCCUCCCACGUGCUGGGAUUAAAGCUUCCUGAAGGCAGUUCACUCAUCUUGAGUCCCCAGAAACUAGCUGACGCCUCACAGGUUCUUCAACAGAGUAUGUUGCAUGGGAGAGCUAGCGACCCAGCUCCAAAGCCACAGCCAGGAAGUGGAGCCUCCAGAAUUCAAACCUGGGUCUGCAAAGCCACCUCCCUUCUCCCAAACAUGCUGUUUCCCUUGGAGGAGGGAGAAGAACCCAGCCCUGCAGCCUGGGCAGCGGGUAGGGAGAGAGAAGACAGGACAACAAUUAUGUAAAAUAUUAUCCCAAUUUGAAAGUGUAUUUGGGAGCCGCACACAGUGUUCAAGGCCAGCCAGCUCUACAGAUCAAGUUCCAGGACUGCCAGGGCUACACAAGAGCCUUUUCCUAACCAGGAGCGAGCCAUUAUUCCUCAUCCCCAGUGUUCCUGACCGCCCAGUCUGAAUGGAAGCCAGGGCCUGCACAGCGCCCCCCCCAGAAAGUCAUCUGGCACCGCUGCCCCCCCCCCCCCC